RNAcentral lists this ribosomal RNA (687 nucleotides) under uncultured bacterium. RNAcentral's name for it is "bacterial SSU rRNA". It matches the Rfam family "Bacterial small subunit ribosomal RNA", at positions 220 to 919 of the family's 1533-position model. The record is from RNAcentral.
GAAAGAUGGCCUCGCGUCUGAUUAGCUAGUUGGCGGGGUAACGGCCCACCAAGGCGACGAUCAGUAGCCGGUCUGAGAGGAUGAACGGCCACAUUGGGACUGAGAUACGGCCCAGACUCCUACGGGAGGCAGCAGUGGGGAAUAUUGGGCAAUGGGGGAAACCCUGACCCAGCAACGCCGCGCGAAGGAAGAAGGCCCUCGGGUUGUAAACUUCUUUUACCAGGGACGAAGGACGUGACGGUACCUGGAGAAAAAGCAACGGCUAACUACGUGCCAGCAGCCGCGGUAAUACGUAGGUUGCAAGCGUUGUCCGGAUUUACUGGGUGUAAAGGGCGUGUAGGCGGAGAUGCAAGUUGGGAGUGAAAUCCCGGGGCUCAACCCCGGAACUGCUUUCAAAACUGUAUCCCUUGAGUAUCGGAGAGGCAAGCGGAAUUCCUAGUGUAGCGGUGAAAUGCGUAGAUAUUAGGAGGAACACCAGUGGCGAAGGCGGCUUGCUGGACGACAACUGACGCUGAGGCGCGAAAGCGUGGGGAGCAAACAGGAUUAGAUACCCUGGUAGUCCACGCUGUAAACGAUGAAUACUAGGUGUGGGAGGACUGACCCCUUCCGUGCCGCAGUUAACACAAUAAGUAUUCCACCUGGGGAGUACGACCGCCAAGGUUGAAACUCCAAAGGAAUUGACGGGGG